GACGUAGGGGGCCAGCGUUGCUCGGAAUUACUGGGCGUAAAGGGUUCGUAGGCGGUGUGGCAAGUCGGGAGUGAAAUCUCUGGGCUUAACUCAGAGGCUGCUUCCGAAACUGCCGUGCUAGAGUGCGGGAGAGGCGAGUGGAAUUGCAGGUUGAGCGGUGAAAUGCGUAGAUAUCAGGAGGAACACCGGUGGCGAAGGCGGUUCUCUGGGCAUUACCUGACGCUGAGGAGCGAAAGUGUGGGGAGCGAACAGG
RNAcentral lists this ribosomal RNA (253 nucleotides) under uncultured bacterium. Its description in RNAcentral is "partial 16S ribosomal RNA". It matches the Rfam family "Bacterial small subunit ribosomal RNA", at positions 524 to 776 of the family's 1533-position model. The record is from RNAcentral.